UACGGAGGAUGCAAGCGUUAUCCGGAAUCAUUGGGCGUAAAGCGUCCGCAGGUGGCACUACCAGUCUGCCGUCAAAGAAUGGAGCUUAACUCCAUCAAGGCGGUGGAAACUGUAGAGCUAGAGUACGGUAGGGGUAGAGGGAAUUUCCAGUGUAGCGGUGAAAUGCGUAGAGAUUGGAAAGAACACCAGUGGCGAAAGCGCUCUACUGGGCCUGUACUGACACUGAGGGACGAAAGCUAGGGGAGCGAAAGGG
RNAcentral lists this ribosomal RNA (253 nucleotides) under uncultured bacterium. Its description in RNAcentral is "partial 16S ribosomal RNA". It matches the Rfam family "Bacterial small subunit ribosomal RNA", at positions 524 to 776 of the family's 1533-position model. The record is from RNAcentral.